This is a long non-coding RNA of Acinonyx jubatus (cheetah), 8689 nucleotides long. RefSeq lists it as uncharacterized. The transcript has 3 exons. Lineage: Eukaryota; Metazoa; Chordata; Mammalia; Carnivora; Felidae. The record is from RefSeq and is a predicted model, not a curated record.
AAGAUUUCAAUGUCUGUUCCUGGAGAUGCCAAGUUAUGGAAACCUGUUGGGGUGGACCAAGCCCAGGGGCUGGGAGGAGCCAUGAGGUUCUAGAAGUGGAGUUCACUAAGCUGAGGAUGGGGCUUGGUAUGAAGACCAAGGGGUUGGUGAGGGAGAACCUGCUCUGUCCAACAUGUGUGGAGGUGGGAGUCUUCUAUCAUAGCUGUCAUCUCUGGGAUCUGGUGAGUGAGCAUGGGCUGCAAACUAAUAUGGUUGCAGCCUUGGAUGCCAAACAUGAGGCCUUCCGUGCAUCUGGGCCAGGGAAGUCCAUCAGCCAUGGACAAGGAUGCAAACGACCUGUCUUGGACACUGACAAAAAAUAAGAAGUUACAGCCCCAGAAGUUGGCGAGACUCCAGUUCUCUCUCCUGUUGGCAUUUGGAAGCAAGAAUGAACCCUCUUCAAACUGAUUCAGGCUCCAAGUUCCUUAGAAAAUUUGCAAGGAGGAGUCUGCUUGACACAGAGAUGUUGGACUUCUACUAAUAGGUCUUGAAUGAUUAAUUAAGACAAUAUGAAAGAAGGUGUUCUAUAUCAUAUCCUGAAUUGGAGAAGCAGCUCAUGUAGUUACUUUGCAGCUUAGCCAGAACUAUGCUCAUGUAAAGCUAUCUGAGAGAGCUCUCUCAACUUGGAAGGAACAUCUUUCCCAGUGCUUAGGGGCAGCCAAGCUGAAUACCUGUGGGACCACAGAACAAGUUUAGUGAACUCUUCUGUGGACCAGUUAUUGUGGGGGGUACAGGUUCCUGAGACCUGGGCUGAGCCAGAGAGUGGAAGGUGGGAGAAGUUGUGUUCCAGAAGACUUGCUUGGAUUCAUGGCGUACCCAUAGCCAUGUGAAAGAGACCCAUGGGGCCACUUGUACUCUUCACUUGUUCUCCUCAAGGUCAGGGCUCUUUUGACUUUUUACAGGGAGUCUCCUAGAAGACAGGCAUGGUGAGGAGAAAAGGAUCCAGUGCAGUGAGCUUGACAAAAUGAGCAUUUCACCUGCACUGGAUGCUGUUGGUGCCCUGUCCAGAUUCCCUUUGCCAGGAGGGGGUAUGGUUUCUCCAUUGCUGUGGAGUGGUUGUGUUGGCUGCUGAAGGCUCACAAGGGGCUCUUUCUCCCUAGAAUUUCCCUCAGCUGAGUGCGAACUAUCUCCUCUUGGAGGUUACAUGUCCCCUGCUGGGGAAGGGCAGCUUUUAGCCAACAAUUGACAUGAUACAAAAGACUGGCCCUCUUACCUCAAAGUAUGUCUACUCUGUGGUGCCAUUCAUGCCCAGAGCUCUAUGCUAGACUCCAGCUGAGAGCACAUCCUUGCUCAGCUCUGUCCUCUGCCCCAUUUGCUUUUCUCAUUCCCAUUCUCCUGAGGUCCCUCCUCCGCUAGAUUAUGUGCACCCAAUCUCCAUCUCAGAUGCUGCUCCCAGGAGAGCACAUUUGUUCUCCUCGUGAACUUGGAGAAGUGUUUGGUGAAGAAAGAACAAAGGUUCCUGGGCAAUGGAUGGGGGAGGCGGAGGAGGGAGGCACAGUUCUCUUUCUUCACGGAUGGAAAUAAGCUUCCCAAAGACUGGGGGUGAAAGUCACUGAGAAAGGUCUUUGUGCAAGUCCCAGGGGAUUGCAGAGAACCACUCAGGAUUUGAGGGGCCAAGUUCAGCUCUCAAAGAAGGCACGUGGGCUAGGCUGUGAUCUGGGACUACAUCCUAGUACUGGUCAGCAUGGUUUGGGAAUACACCUAAUCACAGACUUUUGUUUUUCUUCCCUUCUCUUUGUCUCCCCUCGCUCAUGCUCUCUCUUCCCCAAUUCACUCCUCACCUCUAGAACUUUCCAUCCAUUUUGGGUAAGGCAGGGUUUCCAUGAAGGGACAAGUCACUGAGAAUAUUCUUGCUUAGUGAAACUGCAUUGGUCACUGACUUUGACCUGUGGCCUCUCACCCUGACGCAGCUACAUGAAGCACUAAGCACAGCUGUGCCUGCAGAAGCUCACUUUGGACCAGAAGUCAGUUCCUUGUGAUUUUUCCCACUCCGCAUUCCUGUCCCUCUAUUCUUAGUCUGUCUUUCCCUGAAUCUCCUGGUCCAGUCUUUUGGAUUUCUAGAAUUCCGGUUUCUCUUUACAGGGAUCCAGAUUACCAGACUGGUUGUACCCAUAUUUCUUUUCUGCUUAAAAUCUUUCACUGGUGUCCCAUGCCCUCGAAGGUCUUCUGCAUGGCUUGCAACCCUUGCUGGGUCCACCUUUCCUCACCUGUGUGGCCAGUCCCCCUACCCUGUGCACCUCCUGCCUUGGCCCUGCAUCUCACACAGCUGUUUCUCAAAUGACUACUUGUCCAUCUGUGCCCGUGCGUCUUCUGCUCCUUCCCCUUAGAUUGCCUCUCUCCCUAAUUGACCUUCCAGGAGUCACGUUUUUUCCUCUCUGCACUUUUUCUUGUCAUCCUGGAAGCAACUGUCUACCCCCUUGCCUCGAGUCCUUUCCUGCCUUUCUUCCCCCACAUCUUUUGGUACUGACUUUUUACUGGUAACUGCACCAUUGUAUUGCACUUUUAGGCUACACAGUUGGACUAUAAGCUUUUUGGGGACAGGGCUAUGUCCAACACCUCUUUGAAGCUCAGGUGUGCCGCACAGCUGUGCGGGCCCAGAGCACCUGGGGGGGAUAGAGUGCCUUGGGCUCACCAUCCAUGUCAACUUCCUUCGAGUGCCCUUUUUAUAUGGAGGGGCUGGAACAUCAAAACCCACAUUUGCCAGACUCCCCGGAAGCUAGGGUUCUGAACGAGAUUGAAACCGAGGCCAACUUUCUGCCGCUUCCAUUGGUUGUUCUGGCUAGCAGGCUUUGGCCACUGAGAUGCUGGGGUUUUCUGUAGUGCGUUCCAGUGUCUAGUCGCUAAGUUCAUGGGUGUUGAGGGGCAGGGAUCAGGGCAUCCAUGUGUUUUUUCUUGUGGAGGUCUGCAGAGUAUGCCCUUACUCUAGAACAAGCGCUGCACCGGGGACCUGUGAUGCCCCGUGCCGGUGAGGUGUUGUGGUCCUAUGUGUGUGGCAUCAGAAACAGCUCCUCUGCUGAGCUAGUUCAGCUGUGUGGUUUCAGCCUCCCGAAAGUUCUCUAAAUCCCUGGUGUCUCGCAUUAAAUCUACUUUUGCUUAGUACAGUUCAAGUAGUUUUCAGUUUCUGCAACUGCCUCCUGGCUAAUAGAGUAUGUUUGCAGAAUAUUGAAAGGCCAAGUGGUUCUCAUCUAAUUCAUUUCGCCUAUGAGGACACUGAGGUCCAGAAAGAAUACCAAACAAGCCAAUGGUAGAGCCAGGACUGGAACCAGGACCCUUGUCUCCUAGUCUAGUGAUCUUUCCCCUGCAUCGAAGUGGCAUUUCUGCCUUCACUGCCUCCCCCCUCCCCUGCCUUGUGCUCUAGAAUGAAUCUCUCUCUUCAACAGAUGGGAUAGAGAGGGAUUGGACCAUUGCUUUUAAUAUUUGUGUAGUAUAUAGAUAUAUUCGUGUUCAUAUUCAACAUAAGUAAUAAUAAACGAUAUUGACUGCUUUCUCUUCCCUUCCCCACGUCAUUUCCCCACCCUGUCCCCCAAACACUAUUUUCCGGAAUAAUUUUCCUUGCCUUGGGGUUUGCAUCUAGGGAGAUCCAAGUAAGAGAGGAAUUCUUCCCUGUCGGUAAGAUGGCAAGUCUCAGGAAAGGCUAUGGGCCCUGGAGAAGGUAGUUUGGGGAGCAGGAUGGCAAGAGAUUUAGAGUUGGAAGGCCCUUGUCAGAGCCCACGACACUUGUUCCUGGACGUGGGCCACAUGUGGACCCCAGGUGCCUUGCAGGUGGCGUCCUUCCAUGCUGCUGCCAAUCGAGAUCCUUGCUUUUGACCCCAAGGUAGUCUCCAAAGAGUAGAUUAGUUUCGGUAAGGUCUCUAAUGUCAAGUAAGAGGCUCUCAGUCACAUCCCAUGAAAGAAAAGAAAUGUCUGGUCCUUUGGUCAAGCUGCAAAUCGUUCAGAAAAUGGAAUAAUUACCUUGAGUCUACUGUUUGAGUCUACCGACUUGUCAGAUAUAAGGUUUGCUUCAAAGAGUCUUGCCUGCAUUCGGCCAGUCCUAAAAACCUCCUGAAAACUAGCAUAGUGCAUAUGGUCUCUCUGUCUUCACAGAACAAUAAUGUGUGGGGUGGGGGCCCCAGGGGACACAGAAGGAUGAUAGGGGCACACAGCUUGGACCUCCUUCAGCACGCAGCCCGAGGCAGUAAAAAAAAAAAAAUCUCCAGAGAAAUGAUAAGGAGUUUUAAAAAUAAAAGCCAAUAGGGCAGCCUGCAGCGUCCCAUUUGCUGGCACCUCUUCUUCCCCAACUCUGGCUCUCAGCACAUGACUGGACCCAAGGCUCAGUCCCCAGGGCUCUGCCUCCUCGGCCACCUUGGGCCCAAGGGCUCUGCCCCAAGGUCCAGCCUGGCCAAGAGUGGUCAGCAGAGCAGAGAGAAUCAUAAUGACCCACAUGCUCAGAGAUAAGGCCACAGCUUGUUGAUUUAGGGGCUUGGUUAUUCUCUAAAUAAACUUUCCUUCUUCAAAAAUUUGUCUUUCAACUGGAGCUGAGUGUUUCCUUCUUUCUUUCCCAGGGGAGAAGCUUGUGUUUUGCUUUUCAUAAAUUUUUCUAGAAACUGUUCCCACACUCGCACCCACCAGAUACCAAGCCCCUCUGACCCUUCUCAGAUUGACCACGAAGGGUGGAUGCUGGGGCUGUGGUGGAAGUCACACAUUCUCUUGGAGUCCCCUGGGGUUCAGUGGGGGUGAGGGAGGGAGGGAUUUCUGCUCUGAGUGCAGGAAACCUGGAAGACUGAGGAUGAGCGAUGCUCUGGGGCUGCAUAAGAAGAAGCAAUACAACCCCAAGAGGGACAGUUACCCUGUCUCCAUUUCAAAGAUGAGGAAACUGAGUCUCAGUGUGUGUGUGUGUGUGUGUGUGUGUGUGUGUGUGUCUGAUGACUCAACCAAGACUGUGGUACAACAAAGAGAGAAAUGUAAAGUCCAGUCCAAGGACUCGGUCCCAUGCUUCUCUGCCUCUCUGACUGACCAUGCAAGUUUGUUAUUGUAUCAGUUAGCUAUUGGCACGUAACAAGCCACCCCUAAACGUAGUGUAUUAAAAUAACACCAUGUACUUAGUUCAUGAUCUCUGUGAGUCAGUAAUUUUGGCUGGCCAGUUCUGUUGAUCUUGUUUAACUUACUUGUGAGUCUGCAGUCAGCUGAGAUUUGGUGGCCUCCCUCACGAGACUGGUGAUUGGCUGGCUGUUGGCUGGCAUGAUGGGGUAACUGAACUACGUGGUCUCUCUUCCUCUAGAAGGCUAGCCCAGGCUUGCUUGUAGGAUGGUGGCUGUAGGUUUCCUGAGAGCAGCAAGAGAAGCAAUCCCCCCCCCCCCCCACAGCUCUCUUCAAGUCACUGCUGGCAUCACCUUUGUCUUAUUAUUUAGAGGAAAUCACCUGGCCAAGCUCAGGUACAAGGAGUGGAGGGAGACUUCGCCUCUUGAGGGAAGGAGCAGCAAAGUCACUUUGUAAGGGUGGAGGCACAGGGAGGGGAAAAACUUCUGUUCAUAUAUGCAACUGACCGUGGUUACAAAUAGCGCAGGGGAGGGAAUAGAGUCCGAGUGUAACCCCCAGUUCGGUGCCCAGGGUCCCGUUACUGCCCUCUGCUGCUGAUCAUGUCAUGUCUUGGGUUAACCAAUCUGCUCCUUCACCUUCAGUCGUUGGCAGAGAGCAAAGAACCUUGCAUGGUUGGGAGAUGGGACAUGGGAGAGAUAAGUUUUGGUGUGUGGGAAAAGAUGGGAAGGAAAGAAGAAGAGGCCAGGACUGCCUGGGGGUCCAGCAGAGUGGGACUGCUGUGGGGAGGGUGUAAGUGGUGGGAAUAGAGCUGAGAAUGCUCCACGACUCAUAUUCUGCCACAGACACUCGUCCUGGACACCACUGUCAACAGAACUUCCACCCUCUUUGAUUCCCUCUCAACUAGUUCCCAGGACCCUCCAGUUGUGGAGGAGCCCAUUGAUCGCAGCUUUCAGCUUAUUUUUUAAAUCAUUGAGCCAUCACAUACUAAAUAUACUACCCCUCUCAAGGCACUGGAAAUAUAAGUAAACGUGGAGGGGUCAGGCCUUACAAAAAGAGUGAAGCCCUUUGGAAUGAUGGAAAAUUAGACAACAUGCGUGGCCAGCGAGGACGUAGGGAAUUUGGGGCAAGUAGGUUGGGGUGGGUGGCAUUCUGUGAAACCUCCUGUAUUACCAGAAGUUUUUCACUAUAUUUCUUGGUAUACUAAAUCUGGGAGAUUAAGAGGGUCUACAACAGGGUCUUUAACCCAGAAGUGCAUAGAACCUGGAAUUCUGAACUUGAGAGUUGGAAGGAACCUUAGAGAACAACCGGGAGACCCCCUCCCCUUGAUAGGGUGCUUUAGGCUAAGAGGAAUGGGGUGGUAAAAGGACUUGGCAAAGGUACCAUGAGAGUGUGUUUGCCAAUAUUGGCAAUAUUGAGCAUUAGCAAUAUUGCACAGCCAAUAUUAGAAUUGUGAUCUUGUGACGCAAUGUGACUGGCAUUAUUGAGUGUCGUGUGUGUGUGGACACGGCUGUACUCAUGUCAACGAUCUCACUAAUUCCAACAACAACUCUGUAGUAGAUAUUAUUGGUGCCCAGGACACGGGACCCUCCCCCAGUAGCUACAUGCAUUGGCUACUGAGGGCUUACCUCUGGAAUCUUCUCUGGGAGAAUGAUGGGAGCCAAUCUUCUCUUGGCUGAUGGGAGCUGCCCUGUGGAAGAAGCCUGGGAGAGUAUAACCACACCUGGUUAUACUUACUGAUAUGGGGUGUAAUGAUUUUGGUCAAUGACUUACUGAUUUGGGAGUGUAACCGCUCAGCCUCCUUGUUUCUGGGAGGGACAACUCUGUGGUGCCAUCUGUACUCCAGAGCUCCACAUGGGGUCAGGCUUCUGAAGCUAGAUUCCAGCUGAGACCACAGCCCAAUUAAGCUCCGUCUCCUACCCUGUGUCCCUUACUUUCUUUUACCUGAGAACCCCUCUCUCCACCCAAUAACCUGUGCACACCCGCAUCCCUGUUUCAGGCUCUGCUUCUGGGAAACCUGACCCAAGAUGAAUCCUCCAUAGUAUUAGCUAGAAGUCACACAGCUUGUGAACGAUGUCAUCAGAACUGGACCCCAGAUCUUCUGACCUCCAAGUUUACACUCUCACCAGUUCAGCCCUGCCCCUUCUCGCCAUCUCUGGGGCCUCAACUUGUUAUGAUUCAUGGAUGAAACAAGACCCAGAGGGAGACAAAGGAGUUAGCGUUCAGUGGUUGAUGCUCAGGAAGCAGGAAGAGCUCUCAGGGAAGCCCCCUUCAGAACGAGAAUGGCGGAAGGCAAGGAUUUGUGCUUGCCAGAGCUGGGCUUUGUGGAUAUGUGAAAGGGCCUUCUAAGCUCCACUAAGUUCCUCUUAAAGUAUUGGGAAAACUCAGCGGUGUCCCACUCGAAGUCAUGGUGUGGGGACACGCACUUUAUGUCACACGGUGGCGAAGGCAGGAGCAGGACCCUUUCUGGGCUCCAGGAAAGGAGCUAUGGGUGGGGGGAUGAGAACUGAAGAGUCCAGACUUGCUCCCUUGUUUCCCUCUUGGUCAAAAUACUGGGGGUGGGGGAUGUGCGUACCAGAUGGGACAGGUUUGGAAACUCCAGAGCGGAUGGGAACACCUUGCCGUGCGCUGGGGAGGAGGCCAAGCCCUCCUCGGAGAGUGGCCUGCACCUCCAGGGAGAGGUCAUGACAAAGUAAAAAUGAUGGCGAGGCUUGGUUGUGUUGAAAGGCCCUGAGAUUUCCCUGCCCAGCCCUGCUCCAGCCUCCCAUGGGCCGUGUAGGGUUUGGAGGAGAUCCAGGAACAUGCCUGUGGCCCCUAGAGAGUGGCAGGGAGGGGGCUGAGAGGAGCAUGCCAGCUAGGGGACCACUGUGAGGUCAGGCAAGGGGACUCCCUGACCUCAUCCCUGACAGGAGCUGAGAAGUGGGCAGUGAAGUGUCAGGGGCCAGGUUGAGAGAACGGCUGAACCUCUUUUAAGGGCCUGUAGCCCCGUGACCGUUCAGACUGUAGCCCCAGUCGCCGGGCCUGGCUCAGCCUGGGAGGGACUGAGAUUGGGCUUGGCAACAGCAUCUCACUCAUUGGUCUGGCAUCUCCUGUUUGCAUCCGGAUGACCUCUCCUCACCGCACUAAUUUCCAGCAAGCUACUGGGGUCAGUACCAGUUCCCGGUAAUGACUGAUGUGGACAGCAGCCUGAGACCCCAUCAGCUCUUUAUUCAGCACCGAGGCAAGUCAAUGGGCAAACCCCGGCCAUUUUUUGCCAGAGGGCCAGCUGGAGAGUGGGCAGCCUCGGUGCUAUCGUGGGCGGUCCCAAUAUCACUUUCCUUUUCCUUUCUGAUCAAACUAACAAAUCCUUUUCCUCUGCCUUAGAGUUAGGCGUGGAGAGCACAAGGUGGCAGACAGAUGCCCCACAAAGUCCCCAGGACUCCAGUCUGAUGAAGAGAAGCAAAGCAGUCUCAGCGUCUGACAGAUUUAUGUUGCAGAGAUCUUUUACGCCCUGCUUUAAUCAGUGUGUCCUGAGCAGUAAGUCUGGAGUUAGCGGUCUCUGUGUUGUGCCACAUCCCACCACGGAUACCUUGCCUUCCUUCUCUACUUAAGCAGAACUACAUCCUUCAGAGACUUAUCCAGAUGGAAUCAGAAGUCA